GACGAACGCUGGCGGUGUGCUUCACACAUGCAAGUCGAACGGGGUAGCAAUACCCAGUGGCGGACGGGUGAGUAACACGUGGGAAUCUACCAUUAGAUGGGGAAUAACAGGCCGAAAGGACUGCUAAUGCCGCAUAUGUAUGUACCUCGACAGGGGUGUAUAUGAAAGGAGUAAUCCGUCUGAUGAUGAGCCCGCGUCCGAUUAGCUAGUUGGUAGGGUAACGGCCUACCAAGGCGACGAUCGGUAGGUGGUCUGAGAGGAUGAAUCACCCACAAUGGGACUGAGACACGGCCCAUACUCCUACGGGAGGCAGCAGUGGGGAAUUUUACGCAAUGGGGGAAACCCUGACGUAGCGACACCGCGUGAGCGAAGAAGCCCUUUGGGGUGUAAAGCUCUGUC
This 399-nucleotide ribosomal RNA is filed under the name uncultured bacterium. RNAcentral's name for it is "bacterial SSU rRNA". It matches the Rfam family "Bacterial small subunit ribosomal RNA", at positions 28 to 437 of the family's 1533-position model. The record is from RNAcentral.